RNAcentral lists this long non-coding RNA (2314 nucleotides) under Oryzias sinensis (Chinese medaka). RNAcentral's name for it is "lncRNA (ENSOSIG00000022987.1)". Lineage: Eukaryota; Metazoa; Chordata; Actinopteri; Beloniformes; Adrianichthyidae. The record is from RNAcentral.
UAAUUACCUAUCAAUAAAUUUAGCAUUCUUUUAAUACAUCAAUCUAUGACAAUAGAUUACUAGAUACUAGAUAAUUCUCAUCAUAAGGUUUUGAAAAUUAGCAAAACAUUUCCCGCAAAAAGAGUUUCAUGGAAGCAGCCAUUUAAAAAUCAGCAGGAAAAGGGCUUCUACUGCCUCUAGUGGGUAGAAGAUGAACUACAGGGCAGAAAUCAAGAAACAAUUACAUCCAGUGGGUUUUUUAAGGAAAGGUUGGAUCAUGCUAAUGAGGUAGAGGUCUCAAAAAUGUAUCAAAUAGUAUUUGAUGGUAUUACCUUCAUAAUAAUUACUUAAUGCAAAGCUGAUAAACGGGACUAGAAAAGACGACACUGAGCGGACAUUGGGGAUUUUUUUUCUCUCUCUCAUUUUUAAAGUCUUAAAAAUAUUUCACUAACUUCUAUAUUACUUCACAAAACUCAUUCAGGGGUAAAUGUUUGGAGACCAAGAAAUUUAGAGAAAUAAUGAAAAAGAGAGAAAACGUCAUACAGCAUGAAAAACAAAGGACAAAAACGAAGACAGGGUUGGAGUUUAACCAGUAACAUGUAAUCAGUCCAUUAUACUAAACAAAGAGAAUUACAACAUUUAUUUCUUGGAAAAACAAAAACUGGUAGUCUUGAACUUUUCAGAGUUCAUGCAUUUAUACACGUUUUGGGUUUAGAGAGGUCUCCACUGUGGGACUGGAUGGGUCUCUGUUUCUGACUGCUGGUGAGUAUAUUUUAAUGUUUCGAGACAACUGCACAUCUGACACACGCUGAACCCAUAACUUCUCACAGGGCAGAUGCUUGGCUGCGGCCCAGCGUUUCUUUGGCAGGCUACCACGGAAACAGCAGCGUUGUGUAAGCGGUGUAAAAACCCAUCAGGCGUUUCCUGCCACUGGGCAUCUACAACGCAACCAAUAGAAUCAGACCAACCUGCAGACCAACAGUCAGAAGAUCUGAUAGAAAAGGAGUGUGGGAGCGGAGAGGUCUGGGAGAUCACGACCUUAAUUCUCCCCAAGACAGAGGGUUUAAUUAAGACUGAAGGAUUCCUCACUGACUCCAGACCUCUACAAUAAAACUUUAAUAGGGACAUGGAUUGCACAGGUGAGGCACUGCUUUACUGUUUGGCAAUAUACACUAAUAAGCUUUUUCAUUACAGUAACACUGUUUCCUUCAUGAUCUCAUUAUAGGUUGUUACAGGUUUAAAACAUGAAACUGAUAUACAAAGAAUUUAGGGGAGUUUUAGAAAGAGAAACACUGCUAUUUUAUUUGACUUUGGUUUUGUUUGAUAAAAAGCAUAAAAUAUUAGAUCACUGUUACAACAGCUUUUAAUAUCUAUACGGACAGGUUUCUUACAGUGACAGAUGACAAGCCAGUUGCAACAGUUCAAAACGGUGCUAAUUCAGUUACAUCUUGGCUGUUUACACUUUAAAGCUGGAUAUGCUGACUGGUUCAUUCAUAAACCUGCCGAGCAACUCUGGAGAACUCUGGAAAAAAGAAGACGGAGUCAUCAAAGUGGGAGAGAAGCCCACGCUGCCAAACCAGAUGCACAGAGGCUUUCUCGCUGUCUGUUCUGUGCUCACUGACAUAUCCGAGCUAGAACUGAGUAUAACCCUUUUGCUAUCCUGUGUCUUGGAGGCACAUCAACAUUGGGAGUUGGGUCAUCUGGACCCCACAUGAUAGUGCGCUGAACCUUUUUUCUUCAAUUAUUUGUGAUCUGUACUGGUGUCCAUGGAUUACAUGAAAUCCUCUCCACCUUUAGCCACCUUUGUUAUGGUAGGGAGAACACGUCAAUGUUAGGAUCGGGUCAUCUGGACCCCACAAGAUAGCAGAAGGGAUAAAGGAACACCAAAAAGCCUUACUUAAAACAAAAAAAAAAGAACAACAGCACGCCUUAUUUUAUAACUGGAUGAAUUAAGGUUAUGUUGAAGCAAUUUUGAAAGGCACACGGCAAUGCGUGGAAAUGUCUGUUUCUUGUGUGAUACAAGCAAGGUUGGGUAUUAGCAUGAGUACGUUAACGCUAACAGUGCCAGACUGUUUUUUUUUUUUACAUUGUCUUCAGUCUAGUCAAAGUGAAUUUUAUUUUAGCUGAAUCGGUCUGUUUUUUUUACAUGUUGCUUUAACAUGUUGUUUUAGAGUCACAGGAGUUGUAAAUAUACGCUGUCACGGCUAACGUGUAACGGUUCCAGACUGGUUUUCUUUUUACAUGUUACCAACAAGGUUGGGAGUUUGUGUCGUCACAGCAACGUGUUGUUUAGCUGUAUUGGUCUGUUUUUUUCACUUGUUGCAAACAAGAUUAU